GUGUCGUGAGAUGUUGGGUUAAGUCCCGCAACGAGCGCAACCCUCGCCCCUAGUUGCCAGCAUUCAGUUGGGCACUCUAGGGGGACGUGCCGGCUAAAAGUCGGAGGAAGGUGGGGAUGACGUCAAAUCAUCAUGCCCCUUAUGACCUGGGCUACACACGUGCUACAAUGGGCGGUACAAAGGGCUGCGAACCCGCGAGGGGGAGCGAAUCCCAAAAAGCCGCUCUCAGUUCGGAUUGCAGGCUGCAACUCGCCUGCAUGAAGCCGGAAUCGCUAGUAAUCGCGGAUCAGCAUGCCGCGGUGAAUACGUUCCCGGGCCUUGUACACACCGCCCGUCACACCACGAGAGCUUGCAACACCCGAAGUCGGUGAGGUAACCCGCAAGGGAGCCAGCCGCCGAAGGUGGGGCAAGUGAUUGGGGUGAAGUCGUAACAAGGUAGCCGUACCGGAAGGUGCGGCUGGAUCACCU
Molecule: ribosomal RNA, 468 nt
Filed under: Parageobacillus thermoglucosidasius TNO-09.020
Lineage: Bacteria; Bacillati; Bacillota; Bacilli; Caryophanales; Anoxybacillaceae
Description: bacterial SSU rRNA
Rfam family: Bacterial small subunit ribosomal RNA
Source: RNAcentral